CCUACGGGAGGCAGCAGGGAGGAAUAUUGGUCAAUGGACGAGAGUCGGAACCAGCCAAGUAGCGUGAAGGAUGACUGCCCUAUGGGUUGUAAACUUCUUUUAUAAAGGAAUAAAACGAGGCACGUGUGCCUUUUUGCAUGUACCUUAUGAAUAAGGAUCGGCUAACUCCGUGCCAGCAGCCGCGGUAAUACGGGGGAUGCGAGCGUUAUCCGGAUUUAUUGGGUUUAAAGGGUGCGUGGGCGGGCGUUUAAGCCGGCGGUAAAAUGUCGGGGCUCAACCCCGGCCUGCCGUCGAAACUGGGUGCCUGGAGUGGGCGAGAGGUAGGCGGAAUGCGUGGUGUAGCGGUGAAAUGCGUAGAUAUCACGCAGAACCCCGAUUGCGAAGGCAGCAUACCGGAGCCCAACUGACGCUGAGGCACGAAAGUGCGGGUAUCGAACAGGAUUAGAUACCCGGGUAGUC
This 459-nucleotide ribosomal RNA is filed under the name uncultured bacterium. RNAcentral describes it as "partial 16S ribosomal RNA". It matches the Rfam family "Bacterial small subunit ribosomal RNA", at positions 338 to 795 of the family's 1533-position model. The record is from RNAcentral.